UCUUGCGCAAUGGGCGAAAGCCUGACGCAGCGACGCCGCGUGGGGGAGGAAGGGCUUCGGCUUGUAAACCCCUGUUGCCCGGGACGAACCGCUUCUUUCGAGAAGCCUGACGGUACCGGGUGAGGAAGCACCGGCUAACUCCGUGCCAGCAGCCGCGGUAAUACGGAGGGUGCGAGCGUUGUCCGGAAUCACUGGGCGUAAAGGGCGCGUAGGCGGUUGCUUAAGCGUGUGGUGAAAGCCCGGGGCUCAACUCCGGGUCGGCCAUGCGAACUGGGCGACUUGAGCACUGUAGAGGCAGGUGGAAUUCCGGGUGUAGCGGUGGAAUGCGUAGAGAUCCGGAAGAACACCGGUGGCGAAGGCGGCCUGCUGGGCAGUAGCUGACGCUGAGGCGCGACAGCGUGGGGAGCAAAC
This 411-nucleotide ribosomal RNA is filed under the name uncultured bacterium. RNAcentral describes it as "bacterial SSU rRNA". It matches the Rfam family "Bacterial small subunit ribosomal RNA", at positions 362 to 773 of the family's 1533-position model. The record is from RNAcentral.